GAUGAACGCUGGCGGCGUGCCUAAUACAUGCAAGUCGAGCGAACAGACGAGGAGCUUGCUCCUCUGACGUUAGCGGCGGACGGGUGAGUAACACGUGGAUAACCUACCUAUAAGACUGGGAUAACUUCGGGAAACCGGAGCUAAUACCGGAUAAUAUAUUGAACCGCAUGGUUCAAUAGUGAAAGACGGUUUUGCUGUCACUUAUAGAUGGAUCCGCGCCGCAUUAGCUAGUUGGUAAGGUAACGGCUUACCAAGGCAACGAUGCGUAGCCGACCUGAGAGGGUCAUUGGCCACACGGGCACUGAGACUGGGUCCAGACUCCUACAGGGGGCAGCAGUAGAGAAUCUUACGCAAGGGAGGAAAGCCUGACGUAGCGAAGUGGGGGGAGUGAUGACGGUCUCCGGAUGGUAGAAUGAUGUUAGUAGGAAAGAAGAAAUGUGUAAGCACCUAUGACCGUCAUGACGGUACCUAAUCAGAAAGCCCCGGCUAACUACGUG
Molecule: ribosomal RNA, 497 nt
Filed under: uncultured bacterium
Lineage: Bacteria
Description: partial 16S ribosomal RNA
Rfam family: Bacterial small subunit ribosomal RNA
Source: RNAcentral